GCGUCAGUGGUGAAGUGGUAUCGUUGCGUUCUCGCACUGUGCAACGCGGGUUCGGGUCCCGUCUGAUCCG
Molecule: non-coding RNA, 70 nt
Organism: Ostertagia ostertagi
Lineage: Eukaryota; Metazoa; Nematoda; Chromadorea; Rhabditida; Trichostrongylidae
Source: the annotation of a GenBank genome assembly